This 292-nucleotide ribosomal RNA is filed under the name uncultured bacterium. Its description in RNAcentral is "partial 16S ribosomal RNA". The record is from RNAcentral.
GGACUACUGGGGUAUCUAAUCCUGUUUGCUCCCCACGCUCUCGCGCCUCAGCGUCAGUGUCAGUCCAGGUAGCCGCCUUCGCCACUGGUGUUCCUUCCGAUAUCUACGCAUUUCACCGCUACACCGGAAAUUCCACUACCCUCUACCACACUCUAGUCACACAGUUUUGGAUGCAGUUCCUAGGUUAAGCCCAGGGAUUUCACAUCCAACUUACAUGACCGCCUACGCGCCCUUUACGCCCAGUAACUCCGAUUAACGCUUGCACCCUCUGUAUUACCGCGGCUGCUGGCAC